CUCCUUCCCUGUCCGUAUACCUCAGCAAAACAGGACAAAACAAAAUGAAGCAAGGCCCUCCUUGGUUCUACAUUCCAGGAUAAAGUCAAGGGCUGAAGCCCUUGCUUGGUUGGUGGGGUUGGGGGGCAGGCGGCUGGUUUGUGGCGAAACAGCAAAAGAGACUCACUUCUGUUCACAGAGGCUGCUGUGCAGAAGGCGGAUAGAGUGGUCUUGUUUUCACGUGGCCCCUGCAGGCUGAGUUUCAUUUUGUGGUCUGUCUGCCUUAGAGAUGCUGGCACAAAGCAAAGCCUGCUUUUUAAAAAGGAAUUUGAACAUUACAGCAACUUUGAAAAUGAAAGUCCUUCAUAAACUGCUCUUCCAAGUGUGGCACCUGGUUUGGCAUCUCCUGGGAACUGGCCAGAAAUGCAGAAUUUCAGGCCCCUUCUGGCCUGACCUGCCACAUGAGAACCUGCACUUGACUGGAUCCCACGGACUCACAGGCUCCUGAGAGCAAGAAGAGCCAGCUGCAACCCUCCUGUCCGCAAGCUCGGAGAAGACAAUAAUGUCAUCGGUUGUCUGCACUUAAGAGCCAUUUAAAAUGUGCACCCUUCUAACCUCUUCCAGUCAUUACCUGCAAUUUUCAGGCCUCGUCUAAAACCAAAAUCCUCAUCAAUGUCAUUCAGCAGGAAGCUAAUAAAGGCAUCAUUAUCUUGUCUGUCAGCUGCCACUCUUGCCCCGUCUCCAACCCCAGCAGUCACGGUGAUGGUUCUAAAACAUAAACC
Molecule: long non-coding RNA, 761 nt
Organism: Cervus elaphus (red deer)
Lineage: Eukaryota; Metazoa; Chordata; Mammalia; Artiodactyla; Cervidae
Exons: 3
Source: RefSeq, a predicted model, not a curated record